Molecule: long non-coding RNA, 1622 nt
Organism: Pyrus x bretschneideri (Chinese white pear)
Lineage: Eukaryota; Viridiplantae; Streptophyta; Magnoliopsida; Rosales; Rosaceae
Exons: 5
Source: RefSeq, a predicted model, not a curated record
UCUACACACACAACCGCUCCCAUGUUUUCCUCAAUACAACCGCUCCACUUACUUCAGUUUUUUUUUUUUUUUUUUUUAAUCAAGGACAGUUUCAUUAAAACCAGCCAAACGACAUAGGUUUUGCAUCAGCUGAAGAUUUUGCUUCCUUGGAAAUCUAGCGAGAAAUCGUCCGUACGUUUUGGUUUGUAAGUUCUUCUUUAUCGUUUCAGUUUAAAUUAUUUCAUUUACUUUCUCAAUUUUGCUUCCAUGAAUCCAACGCCAAGUAUUCAUGGUUGAUUUGCUAUUCUUGAACAUUCUAGACUAUGUCAAAAUUCAAGUCAUUGAUUAUUUUUUCUAAGAAUAUUAUGCAGUCUUUCCCAAUUUUCGAACCUCAAUCCCAAAACCAGCCCACAGUAACGACAACAAUGGCGUUCACAUCGUUAUUCUCUACGCCGCAGCCACAACUGUCAACAGCAGCAGCAGCAAUCGCCGUUUCAAACUCAACAGCCCUUGCAGCCCUUUCAGCAAAGCAGCUCCUUCUUCUCCCAACAACCACCGCAGUAGCAGAAGACGCUGCUGUUUCAACAGCCGCGAUUUCAGCAGCAGCAGCAGCAACAUCAAUUGUCUUUGUUUACUAAUGACAAGACUCCGGCGAGUUAUGGUACCAAGUGGGCGGAUCUCCAUCCGGAUCACCAGAAAAUUCUUCUGCAGAUUGAGGAACGGAUACUGGCGUAUAGGGAUGAAAGUCAGCGUUCUGGAGUGAUGAAGUGAAGUUUCUGGUUGCGGCGGAGGAAGGUUACUCUGGUUCUUGGCAGUGGGAAGGACUUGAGGAGUUUUAGAGAGAUGAGUUACUGAAGAUUGAUGGCGAGGGGUAGUGUGUUAUGAGUAUUUUGAAAAGGUGGGAGUCUCUCCUCCGUCAAUGGAGGAGUUAUUUGUUGUUGGUGAUCUUAUGCGCAACCAGAUUAUGAGAACAACCAGUAAGAUGCUUGCUUGAUCUGUAUGGAAUGGAAUGGGGUUAUCUGCGCAUGUAAUUUUAUUCAGAGUUUCAUAAGUGGGGUUCAGUACCUAAUAUAUCCUCAAAUUUCUAAUACAAUCGUUCAGACUAAUUAAUUAUUUAAUUGCUUUACCCUUGACCGCUAAUUGAUUUUGAGGUUCAAUGGAAGUAGAAUUCACAAGGAAUUGCUGAAUGAUUUUUAAAAGUAACCAUUGCAUGCUUAUCUAUGGGCGCCAAAUUUUCUGUCAAAACCUAGGAUGCGGAGGAAGCUGAAGAUUAGCACCUAGGAGGAGGUUCAUUGAUUGAAGUUAUAAAAGAGCCAAACAAAGAGUACGAUGAAAAAGCAGGGCAAACAUCCGCAAUUCGGUUUAAGAAUGGUAUUUGUUUAUCAUAAGUGGUGAAUUUCUAAACAUAUAUGUGUGGAUUAACAUCCUCAGAAGUCAACAAGCCCAAUGGCAUUUUGGAAAUCUGUAGAAUUAGCCAACAUUUCAUAUUCGUAAGGUCAAUUAGUGGGUUUCGGAGUGAGUAUGGACUUCCAACUCUAAUGUUUUUGUUUGACUUAUUCAUCUCACUAAACAAAACAAAAAUCAAUGUGGUGAAUAUUGCAGUGUACUGAUAUUUGUCUUAUAAAAUCUAAUUAGUUUUUCUU